GACAGAGGGUGCAAACGUUGUUCGGAAUUACUGGGCGUAAAGCGCGUGUAGGCGGCAGGGCAUGUCGGAUGUGAAAUCCCGUGGCUCAACCACGGAAGUGCACCCGAAACUGCCCAGCUUGAGUCUCGGAGAGGAAGGCGGAAUGCUUGGUGUAGAGGUGAAAUUCGUAGAGAUCGGGAGGAACACCAGAGGCGAAAGCGGCGACCUGGACAGGUACUGACACUCAACUACGAAAGCGUGGGGAGCAAACAGG
RNAcentral lists this ribosomal RNA (253 nucleotides) under uncultured bacterium. RNAcentral describes it as "partial 16S ribosomal RNA". It matches the Rfam family "Bacterial small subunit ribosomal RNA", at positions 524 to 776 of the family's 1533-position model. The record is from RNAcentral.